Molecule: long non-coding RNA, 8806 nt
Organism: Motacilla alba alba
Lineage: Eukaryota; Metazoa; Chordata; Aves; Passeriformes; Motacillidae
Exons: 4
Source: RefSeq, a predicted model, not a curated record
CAUGAGGACAUCCAUAUCAAUAAUCUUUGCAUACAAACACAACUCUGAUGCUGAAAUAGCAAGCUUUAAAAUUAUCUGAUAGAACAGAUAAAACUUGGAGCAAAUGAAAGAAUUAUGUAGUACACAGCAAAUCCAUUAUCCUUUUCAGUAUUUGCUUUGGUGAGGAUGUAAGAAAUGAGAUUUAUUCUAAAAUGGAUGAAAGAACAAAAUACUACCAUUUGAGAAGAAUGUUAUGCAUAGAAAGAGAACUUGCCUAUGAAUAGUAAAAUUAGUUAUGAACCAAGCACCACUAAUUGUGUAGGGUACUUACCAGUUUUAUUAAAAUUGUUAGAAGCCAGUUACUGAGGACUUAUGAUGUUUGAAUUAUCUCUAAUUACCUGAACAGGAUGGAUAAAAAAAUGAUGAUUCGAGAAAACAAGGCAAAAUCCAAAUCAGAAUUUUUACUGGAAGUGGAUAUUUCAGUUUGCAUUUAUUUUAAAUAAAAUUUUAAAUGGAAAAAAAUUAAAGGUAUAUAAAUUAAUAUUUUUUUUCUUAAGGAAAACAGUAAGGAUGCAGUACAAAUUUGCUGCUUAAUUUCUAAAUUAAAAAAAGUCAAACCACUGUUCUGCUGAAGUGAAAAACCUCUUUUUGAUACCACUGACCACUUCCACACAACUCAAUAAUAAUAUGUCCCCAUAGCAGCUGCUUCUGCUAGUACAUUCAAUGGUGCUCACUCAACUGCUGAGAAACAAGGUGGAAAUUGGAAAUGGGCCAGAAAUCUCAUCUUCUUCCUUAGAUACAAAUCUGGGUGAGAUCUACUAAUCUAGAAUCUUGAAGGAUACAGUUACCAUGAAAAUAAAUUGAAUUCACUAACUUCAUAAAAGAGCAUAACAAAUUAAUAAAUCAUUAGAGGCAACAGAGAAAUUGAAAUUAAUCAUUAUAUUUUAAAUAUCAAAUACUGUAUAUGGCUUUUUUAAUAUAUGUAAUACAAAGAAUUAUUUUCAGAACAAACUCUAAUGUAUUUUCUAGAAGUUUUCUAAAAGGGUUGUUAGACUACACUGACUAGGAGUGGCAAAGAGUUGCCCUCUCCAAUGUUAUCUAUGGAGGAUAGAUAUGGUUGUUAUGGUUGCUGUGGUUGUUAUCUAUGGAGGAAGGAGAACAGGGAUGUAGUUAAAGAGAAAACUGCUCAAAUGACAGGACUGGAAUAGUGCAAGUCCACACUAACUGGAGUCACAGCAUCAUCCCAAGGCUGAUCUCACAGGAAUGAAGGGAAUCCCACUUUAGUGCUGCUGAACUGUGUUAGAGUUGCUUUUUGUCCUUUGAAUUCAAUGGGAUCAAAACUUUCUCUGGAAAGAAACACCUUAUCUUGUUCGUUUUCUUUGGAUUUAGCAAUGUACUCAUUCAAAUAUGGAGGAGACAUUUUUACCAGGAAUUAUGCCCAGAAAGUGCUUAGGUACUAGCUCUCCUCCCCUCACUUACAUGCAGUUCUUUGAACAGGGAGACAAAAGCAACACAGAAGACUGAAGACAGCACUUUAAAUAUUACACAGUGGCUUCCUUAUACGCCUGUCAGUAAUUUUACUUGUUCUCAGUGUGUUUCUACAUGACUUCUAUACAGCCAGCACUACUCUGAGUCGUGCAGAAUAAACAGAGCUGCUCCCAGGGCCUGCUAGCACUGGCUGCCUGUGGUCUAGAUGAAGAAUGAGGACUGCUAGCUCAGAGCAGCCCAUGCAAUUCAAAGUGCUGAGGCAAUGGGAAAUUUUUAGGGAAAGAAAAAUGCAUGUGAGCAUGUAAGGGACUUGAAUGGCCAUAUAAUUUGAGCCGUAAUGACUCUGCAAGGCCUAAAUUGGAUCAAAGUAAAUGUGUUUCGUAUUUUCUCAUUUUACAUGGAGCAUUAAUGUCAUAAUGUUUCCUUCCUUCUUCUAGGUUGCUACUAAAAAUUGCUCUAUUCAUGCAGGUGUCUGAAAGUAUGUGUUUGUGUGGAAGGGCUUAUGAAUAUGUGGUUUGAGAAACAAAAUAUGGGCAAUAAUAAUCCACAGAAUAAGCAAGUCCUUGGUUUUGUUUAAUACAGCUCUAGUAUUCACGUGCACAUGAAAGAAUACACCUGAGUUUUAAAGAAGCAUCUGUCUCUUUAUCCUCAUGAUAGUUCAGGUUUACUUCCAGUAAUUCCUGAAGUUCAUGUGACCUAAGCCUGAUAACAUCACAUCACAGUUAAAAAAACCCAUGAUAAUUUUCUAUACAGCUGUAAUUUUGUGGCUGGAACUAUGUUUUUGUGUGCAUACAGAUGAGGGCAGGAGUUUUGUAGCACAGGAAAAACAGACAGCUCUCAGGUUGUGUAACCUUCUUCCUCCUCAUCCAUACAAAGAACAUCAAGGCCCUGUCCCAGAAAAUUAUGUCCUUUCCCACACCUCCCUCAUCCCCACCUACCUGCAGUACCCCUUCUCUUUCCAAGCCCCUUCCCUCCUGACAGAGCAGCUGGCAGAGCUGUGAGUGCCAGUCCACGAACAGGUUCAUGCCUUUUGAUUUACUGGCCAAGAGACCAAAGCAACUGAAAAUCAAUGAGCUCCUCGCAGCAUGAGGGCCUUUUUCUGUGUCUGCUUUCUCUAACACUUGCAGUUACCUUAUCUCAGUCUCACAUUUGACUGCAACUGGUCAGUAACACUCCAAAAUACAUAAGGGAAGAAAACACUCCUGCAGCCAGAGCAGCCUCAAAACAGGCUACGCACAGAGCUGAGACUGCAGCUCUUUGGAGAAGGCACUAAGCCUGGGGGUUUGUCUAAACAAUGCUCCCUCUCCCAGAGCAUAGGUCCUUGACCCAAGGUUACGUCUGUGCUCCAUCCAUCCAUCCAUCCAUCCAUCCAUCCAUCCAUCCAUCCAUCCAUCCCAGCAAGGAUCCAGAGCUUGCAACAAUCUGAAGCCAGGAUCCAAAACCAGGUCUUGAGAUACGGGACAUGGGGCAGAGUUUGUUUUACAAGUGAAUAGCUUGGUUGUUGGAGCAUUCUUCAAAGAGCAAAGAGAUUCAGAAGGACUGAUUUAUAAGUACAUUUUUUGGUCAAGGAACUAUUCUGUCUCAAAUCCUUGAUGAACUUGAAGAAAAAUCUUGAAGAAAAAUUAGCUUCUAUGCAAUUCUGAAGUGGUAUAUACAUGUUUUUCAGAAAUAUCAUUAAGUUUUCUGUAAUUAUGAAAUGCAGACAACCACUGUGAAACUGAGUUUGAAAGCAGAGGUGCUAAAGAUUUUAAGUACUAAACAAACUGCUGACAGCUUUGUCAAUGCUACCUAUCAGUUAUCAAGGAAUGCAAAAGAAAACUGAAUGGGUAUUUGUGAUACAGGCAGUACUCUGUACUUUGAAGCUAAGGGAAGAAAGCAGGUUGAAAACAUUCCAUCUGUCUGACUCAUAACUCAGCUCCCAGAAUUUGUCUUUGCUAAAAAAAAUUACAAACUUUUUCAGUGGCAGUGGAAACCAGGAUAAAGUGAAACGCAUAUCACAUCAUGAAAUGCUUUAUCAGAGCUGCUGAAGAUGCUGGUCUGUAAUAUUUGAGAUAUGGCAGAGGAUACCAGGUCAAUGGUUUAUAACACUAUCAGGUUAAACGUCUAUGGAUUUCCAUAAAACAAAAGCCCAGUGUUUACAUUCUGAGUAAUAACUCAGGGUAUUGAGAUUGACAAUUUUUAAGAAUCUCAUUUUUCACCAUUUUAUUAGCUGGCACAUUCCACUGCCUAGAGUGAGAAAGAUGAAGCUGAGGAGAGUGGCAGGCAGCGAGCUGUGCAUGGCUGCUGCUGUCCCACUUGGCCUGCAAAGGCUACACCACUGCCUUACAAACACUGCAUGAGGAACCCCAUUAAGAUGCAAUUUAAAACAAGGCAGUCCUGGAACACUAUGUUAUGGAAAAAUUGGUUUUACAAAACUUAGUUGUAAGCGACAUUUAGCCUGUCAGAUUCCUUUGAAUAUAUGGAACAUGAAUAAAUAGAGUGUAAAGCCCAACCAAUGUCACAGAUUUUCAUCAGAUCAAAAGAUCAGAUCUCAAAUUGCACUUGAAAACAAACCAUGAAUUUCUGGUUGAUAUAUGCAACCACUACAUGCAGGUAUCCAAGCUUUGGAAGGAAAGCUGUAUUUUCAUGUAAUAUGACAAAUUUUCUUGUUUGCAGGAAUAACUUAUCAGGUAGCAUGCAUUAACAGUAGUUAAGAUUUCAUAUAUGUAAAAAAUAUUUGGCAUGAAUCUAGGCAGAAAUGUAAAGAUCUCACUAUUUGCUAUAAAGCAGCAGUAAUGUGUAUCAACUCUACUUGUUUUUAUUUUUUAUUCCUAAGGAGAAUUGCUCUUGAUAAGGAAGCAGCACAAGCACCAAUACACUGUCUUGAUAAGCAGAUACCUUCAUGCAGAACUGCCUGAACUUCACUCAUAAAAGGAAAUGGAUGCAAAGUGAGCAUAAACAACUAAAAUUAUAUUUUAGCACUGCUUCUGCAUGCAAGUUCAGUGAAUCAUUCAUCUUCUUAAGUCAAAUCAGGACUAGUGCUUUCCAAGAAAAUAUAAUUCAGCUUGACCCUAGUUAUGCUUCAGAAAAAUACAGGUAACUUGGUGAAAUUUAGCCUAAUCUCUUGCACGUUACAGACUAUCAAAUCACCUAAGAGUCGCUUCUGGCCUUAAAAGCCAUGAGUUUCAAAAAUUCUAUUACACUUAAAAUACAUAGCAAUAUAUACAUAAAUUCUAUUACAGAGUUUAAACACAUAGCUCCUAAGAAGGAAAUCCUUAUUCCAAGAGUAGUAUUCAUUCAUACCACAACAGUUUCUCACCUACAGAAAUACAAAAACCACACAUUUACUCCCUAUGUCAAUCUGUCCUACUGAAUAGAAAUACAUUGUCACUUUUUCAAAUCGGAAAUGUAACUGCUAUUUCUCCCCCACGGCACACAUCCUAUCACAGCAGUUCACCAGUCUCAGGUGGUGAAGGACACCCUAGCCCCACACGCAUUUUUUCCACUCUAGCUCUCUGUAUGCACUUAUGUUUUAGAUGCUGCUUUGAUAAGGCAAAUAGAUCCAUGACAUGCUCUCUUCUUUAACUACUGAGGAGACAACAGGUAAGUCUUGUCUUCCUUCACCUGUACUAAAUGGGAAACAAUAUAAGUGGAAUCCAUCCCCCCCCCCCCCCCCCUUCGUUGGUUUAAUCAAAACCAGCACUAUCAGCCAGACGGGCACACGUGUACCUGGCUGUGUGCUCUCUGAAGGUGGACCCUGAUACAUUGUCAAUUACGUUCAUUUUAUUUCUUUCAUCAAAAUUCAGGUAUUCUCUUCUCAAAUCUCCCAUGUGAAGGUGUGAGACUUCAUCUUUUAAAAGAAAACUCAAACUGAAACUUGGAAACAUUUAUUUACGCUCAAACACAACUGCAAUUACUAAACACGAUUGUUUAUUUAAUUUACAGAUACAUAGAUGGCACCUGACGAGCAUGAGUGAUGAAAAGGGUACAGCGAGACCAGAUUAGAUGGAACAUUUAAGAAAGCCCUUCAAGCCACCAGGAGGAAUGAUUCAAGACUUGGAAGACUCAUAUUUGGCUCCCACUCCACCAGAAAUAUCUCAUAUAAUUUCCUAUAAGCUGCAUGGAUUCUGUUUGAAGCCCUAUGCUGGAUGAGAGAGAUUGUGAAGAACACACUUGAGUCUACAAAUAUUUUCCUGUAAGAAUCAAGUCCACUGGAUGAAUUUCAAAUUUUGUCCUGUAAGGAAAUGUGUAAAAUGGGAAACGUUUCCAGAAGAGAACUAAUUCUUGCAGUGCUGCAUUGCUGCUUUAUAAAUAAAUCAUUGUCCUUUUUCUAUUGAUCACUGGAACAAUCCAGUCGAAGAAUGCUGACUUAGUGCAGCCCUUCGCAGGAUGGCUGGAUUGAGAGAAAAAGCCGGGUAAGUGGGACCCAGCAGCAGGGAAUUGGGAAAAUCCCAGACUAGUUAGAGAUGAGGUUUGGUGCAUGAAAUCCUUGACUUGUCUUUUACCUCCAAAAAAAACUGGACAAAGCAGCUGAUUUCUACAAGAUAUUCUGUCUUUUUAUAAUGUCAUUGAUCAGACAAAUUAAAUAUAAGACAAUGCUAGUUGUAAUAGGUGGAUGAUGCUGAAAAUCCGUAUUUAAUGUAUUGUGAUUUUCUUUUUGAGAACACACAAAAAAAAGACCUUCCAAAUUCAAUUAAUGAUCUCAAUUAUGAUAUUUAUUUGUCGAGAAAUAAGGGCUCAGAUCUGCCAGGAAUAUGUUUGAGUUUAUAGACUCUCGGAAAUAGUACUGCAUUCCUGUGAGUUGAGGUGGAAUCUGAAUUUUAUUUGGUUAUCACAGAUAACCAAGAUCACAGCUUGCCAAUCUGACAAUUCAAUGAUGUCUGAUUUUUCAGGACUUCUGGUAUCAAGCCCCAAGGCUUUUCUGGGAAUAGAAGCAGCCUGUUACAAUGAGGAGCUGAGAAAUACUAUUUGGGUUUGCAUGUCUGACCAGUAAGAUCAGUAAUGGAUCUUGAAGGCAUACACUUUUUAAAAUGUGGCUUUCACUGAAGCCUGUGUAUGUCAUCUAUAGCAAGAGUGUAUACUCAGGAUGUUGUUAUCCAGAACAUACAGCUAGUUCUAGAAUAUAAAGUUCUUAUUUUUCAUAAAAUGAUAUUUAUUGGUAACUGCAGUGCUCAGUUGAUGGCACGUUAGUCAGGGUCAUGGUGAUGCAUUGCUUUUAGGGCAUGUUGUCAUCACAUCAUUUUUUUCUGUUUCUCAUUAAUUACAGAUACUUCCAGGAUGCAGGUCUGUAAAAUGUAAUUAUUUAUUCCACUGGGUGUUCUAUCUCUAAUGCUGCAAUCAGAGGCAGCAUAUGCUGCUGUAUUCUCACCGGUGUGCCGUUGGGUGGCUAUCAAGAAGCAAAGGGGCUUGCAAAAGACUUUCCCGGCCACAGCCGAGGUGUGGGGCGUGGAGCAGAGCAGCUGGAUGCGAGGAGUGCGCGAGUGGCUCUGGGCUGCGCGGCGCUGCCGGGGGCGCCCGGGGCUCCUCUUGCCGCUGCUGCCGGCGCGGCUCUGGGGCCGCCGCGUCCGCUCCCGGCUCAACGCCCCGCUGACGGCAAAAAUUCUCACAACUUCAACGAUAAACCCGGACCAAAUGGACUACAGGGAACAAAUCUGGAGGUACAGAAAGAGACUACAUGUGUCGAUGUUGCUAGCAUGGCAGAAAGCACCUGGCACAGCCCUAGUUUCCAUUGGACUGGCAGUGGAUGGGCUUUCCCUUUCCUCUCCCAGUGUGCAAGUAUCAAUCGGUUCGUGCCUUCUGCUAGGAUGCUAAAAGGCCCGUAAUUACCGUGAGCAUAAUAAUCCAUGAAGAAUUUCGUUAUCUGAAAUAAUGCGAUCUAUUAAACAAACAAAAACCCCGGUGGUGUUUAUCAUUACUCCUGCGUUUGACCGUCUCCCUCUUCCAGCUGGAGCAGAGCCUGGCCGCUGGCCACUAGAUGCCACUGUUGUAUAAGGACAUGUUGGGCGUAAUGCCUUAGACAAUGAGUAAUUUACUUAGAGAACAUGUAUGUGUAUAAUUAGGAGUCAUCAAUGUCUUUCUUUUAAAAUAAAAUAAGUUUACCAUAUCUAAUUAGAUAUUUCUUAUAAGAUGGAUUUCAUUCUAAUUGGGUAAAGCUAUGCUACUGGUUUAAAAUACAGCAAAGGAUGUAUUUGUAUUCACUUUCACAGUUUUCAUAUUUCUUUAGUCCUUGCAAUAAAUGGAUCUGAUUACACCUUUUAAAUCGAUGUUCUCUCAAACUGGUAUGACAUAAAUGAUUGUUCUGUCAUUGUGAUUUUACUGCCAUUGUUUUCAGCAUGUGAGGUUUUCUAGUGAUAUCUCUUAAUCUCAUUCUGUCUUUCCCUAUCCUCCUGAUUGUGAUCUUAGAUCUGCAUGUUCUUUCCAUCCAAACUGAAGUAAUCUAUUUAAAGAGCCAACAGUGGCCACCGUGGACUCUGGCUUGACUAUGGCAGCAGCAGUGAGCAGCAGGCUUUCCAGCAGCAGUGAGCUCAGUAAUCCACAGCUAAUGAGCCAGAGCUCCAAAAUGUCCAUUGCGCAAGGGGCUUCUUUAAAAUCUCAGAUUUCCUGUUGCUGAGUGUUGACAAUGGAAGUCUAGAUUUUUCAGAUGUUGGACUGUAUCCAGCCUAGAUAAAAUUCAAAUGCAGUGCUUUUUUUUCAGGGAAAAGGCAUGCCUUAUAGCUUCAGUAUGAAUUCAGAAGGCACUGGCUAGUCAUUGUGACACCCAGUGCGGGUAGAGCUUACACCCCUUCUCAAAGCAGUUUCAUUAGUGCCUGAAUUCUCUUCACCAACCAGAGUUCUGGAUUUUCCCACCAAAAUUCUAUAUUGCAUGCUAACAUCAGAACUCUGCUGGUUUUACAGUUGUUUCGGAUCUGUGGGAGUUUAGGUAUGGAUGAUCUUUCUCAGAUCAGCUCUAGUGACACCAGGCUGCAACACUGACCACUUCCACCUCAUGAGUGCUCCCAUCAGCCUAUUCUUGCCUGUCUGACACGUGAGCCACUCCUGUGUUUCCCAAUUAUGACUAGAACUUGUCUAUUCAAUCUUGAUGCCAUCUUUCAAAUUACUUUGAAUUAUCUCCUGAAAGAAGCUACUCCUGCAACAAAACAAUGGCAAAGUGAUUUUAGAAUUUUCAGAUUGUGGUUUAUAACUGUGAUGUACCUCAGAAAUAGCUUGUCCCAGUGGGCAUGGCUUUCUCUGCUAUCCCUAUCUCUCAUAUAUCAAAUUAUGGAUUAUUAUACAAAAGUUGUAUCUCUGUCUUAUUUAUUGAAGUGUUGGUUCACUAAAUAAAGGAUCUCAACAAUGAUUUGAGCUGGCUGAAAACAUGCUU